CCAUGUUUGCCAAAGACAAAGGCUCGUUGGUGCCCUCGGACGGGCAGGCUGGGGAAAAGUUAGCUUUAUACGUCUACGAAUAUUUACUGCAGGUAGGAGCACAGAAAUCUGCACAGACCUUCUUAUCGGAGAUUCUCUGGGAAAAAAAAAAAAAAAAAACAUCACGUUGGGAGAACAGCCUCGGUUUUUGCACUCGUGGUGGUGUGUAUUUUGGGACCUUUACUGUGCAGCUCCUAAAAGGAGAGACACUUGUGAACAUUCAAGUGAAGCAAAAGCCUUUCCUGAUUCUAGUGCAGCAGCUGCCCGGAGCCCCGUGCUUGGCAACAUUCCCCCCAACGAUGGGAUGCCGGGAGGCCGAGUCUCGCCAGGUUUCUUUCAGUGUCCUCCGGGGUCACUGCCCUCACUGCAUGCACAGCCUCCACCUCACAAUCCUAGCAGCAUGAUGGGACCCCACAGUCAGCCUUUUAUGUCACCGCAAUACGCAGGCGGCCCCAGGCCCCCCGAUCAGAAUGGGAAACCAGCCUCCUCCGGAGGAGUUCCUGGGAAACAGCCAUUGCUGCCCAAUUCCAUGGAUCCCACACGACAACAAGGCCACCCCCACAUAGAAGGAUCAAUGCAGAGAAUGAACCCUCCCUGAGGCAUGGUGCCCAUGAGUCCCAGCCCACAGAAUUACGGCAGUGGCAUGAGACCACCACCCAAUUCCCUUGGCCCUGCCAUGCCCGGGAUUAACAUGGGCCCGGGAGCCGGCAGACCCUAGCCCAAUUCUAACAGUGCUAACUCAAUUCCAUACUCCUCCUCAUCACCUGGUACCUAUGUGGGACCCCCUGGUGGUGGUGGCCCUCCAGGAACACCCACUAUGCCCAGUCCCUCAGAUUCAACAAAUUCCAGCGACAACAUCUACACAUUGAUUAAUCUGGUGCCACCUGGAGGCAGCCGGUCCAACUUCCCGAUGGGUCCCAGCUUGGACGGUCCGAUGGGCAGCAUGGGUGGCAUGGAGCCACACCACAUGAACGGAUUGUUAGGGUCAGGCAACAUAAAUGACUUCCAAAAAAUUCUCCUAACAACGUGAAUAGUAUUAGCAAUCUUCCAGGCACCCCUCGAGAUGACGGCGAGCUAGGAGGAAACUUCCUCCACUCCUUUCAGAAUGACAAUUACUCUCCAAGCAUGACGAUGAGUG
RNAcentral lists this long non-coding RNA (1177 nucleotides) under Homo sapiens (human). RNAcentral's name for it is "non-protein coding lnc-CCT8L2-26:1". Lineage: Eukaryota; Metazoa; Chordata; Mammalia; Primates; Hominidae. The record is from RNAcentral.